RNAcentral lists this long non-coding RNA (661 nucleotides) under Homo sapiens (human). RNAcentral describes it as "HSALNT0333474". Lineage: Eukaryota; Metazoa; Chordata; Mammalia; Primates; Hominidae. The record is from RNAcentral.
CUUUCUCCGGGAUUCCUCUGAGGGCCAAGGUCUGGUCACCCAGAGGCUGCUAAUUUCAAAGGCAAUAUGAGAGGGACUGGAUGUUUGGAGGGGGACACGGGGCUGGACAUCUGGAUCCCCAAACCCGGACUCACCUCUCGGACAGGGCUGAUUCCGAUCGGACACUUCCGGUGGAAGGACUGAGCGGCGCUACACUUCAAGAAUUCCGUCCACAGGGACUUGUGAGUCUGCGCAGAAGGCGGGAUGCCUUUGGACUACAAUUCCAAGAAUCCUUCCUGGGUCUCUUCGGGCGCAGACUUUUCGCCAAAGUCCUGAAGAUCUCAGGGCUUGAAGGAGGGGGCAUCUUUUUUCUCCAUUGUAGUAGUGUGUCUUGCUAAAUAACAGAAGGGACUCCUGAAAAGAAAAUGACGUUGGCCGGGCGCGGUGGCUCACGCCUGCAGUCCCAGCACUUUGGGAGGCCGAGACGGGCGGAUCACGAGGUGGUGAAAUUGAAGCCCACGCAGCAGGGUUGCAACUGAAACUUCAUCUCCUCUGCAAAACCUUCCUGCAUUCCCAGACAACUUUUCUUCUGAGGCCUUGUUUGAUUCAUCCCCUUACCCCAGUGGAACUCAGAUAUUCAAAAUGGUAUUAAUUAAAACCACUGGCUGUCAUUGGUCCAUGC